This is an RNA transcript of Synchiropus splendidus (mandarinfish), 4979 nucleotides long. It is a transcript of the gene named eukaryotic elongation factor, selenocysteine-tRNA-specific, with no coding region annotated. The record is from RefSeq and is a predicted model, not a curated record. Lineage: Eukaryota; Metazoa; Chordata; Actinopteri; Syngnathiformes; Callionymidae. The transcript is spliced from 9 exons.
CUCUUCGCUCGGCUGUGUUGCGGAAACUACUAGAAACACAUUCGUGAGUAACAGAAACUGAUAUCUAGCUGUGGAGACAGUUUGUAACUAUACUCAUUUAAACCCGAACAUAUCUGUUGCUUUCUGGUAUGUUGACAUUUUGUUCGCAAAUAACUUCCUUUUGAUGACUCCGUCAAACAGCGUAGAGUUAAACAGUUUAUUUCAGCCUCAUUUUACUUUUGUUGCUGCACGUAAAUGUAAUACAAGAGUCUAAGCUGCCAAGUAGUUUCAACCAGGACUUUGCUGUCGGGGUGUCGCUCUCUCUAUGAUCAACGUGAAAUGACAAGUCCGCAUAAAGUGACGAGAUAAAGUGGCGAGUCGUGAAGACAACCACCGUCCACAGCUGCGGCGCCAUUGGUUCUGUGUCGAGACCGACGUGUUCAGUGCAGCUGGGUCCGGUGUCGAUCGAGUUGCAGGGGCGCUGAGGUCAAGGCUCAUGAGAUAAGACUGACGCUCGAUUCAAAAUGUCCAACUCGGGCGGCAAUGUGGCCAAGACGUUGAACUUCAACGUCGGGGUGCUGGGACAUGUGGACAGCGGCAAGACCUCCCUUGCCAGGGCGCUCAGCAGCACCGCGUCCACUGCCGCCUUUGACAAGAACCCGCAGUCCCGGGAGAGGGGCAUCACCCUGGACCUGGGCUUCUCCUCCUUCACCGUGGACUUUCCCCAGCACCUGCAGGAGAGCGACACCCAGCAGCGGUAUGGAAGCCUCCAGUUCACCCUGGUGGACUGUCCAGGACAUGCUUCUCUCAUUCGCACCAUCAUUGGAGGGGCUCAGAUCAUUGACCUGAUGAUGCUGGUGGUGGAUGUGGUGAAGGGGAUCCAGACUCAGACGGCCGAGUGUCUGCUGAUAGGAGAGCUCACGUGCCCUCGCAUGGUCGUCGUAUUGAACAAGAUUGAUCUCCUGCCGGCCAAUAAGAGAGACGGCGCGAUAGAGAAAAUGACUAAGAGGCUCCACAAAACACUGGAGAGCACCAGGUUUAAGAAUUGUCCAGUCAUUUCUGUGGCAGCAAAGCCUGGUGGUCCUGAGGCCUCUGACACGGUGGAAGCACAAGGAGUGUCUGAGUUAAUAGAGCUGUUGAAGAAGCAGUGUUACGUCCCCCAGAGGAGUCCCGGUGGGGACCUGCUCAUGGCCGUGGACCACUGCUUCUCCAUCCGCGGCCAAGGAACAGUCAUGACCGGGACCAUCCUGCAGGGGUCGCUGGCGAUUAACGACACGUUGGAAAUACCAGCGCUCAAGGUUACCAAGAAGGUCAAGUCGGUGCAGAUGUUUCGGAAGCCAGUGUCAGGGGCCAUGCAGGGAGACCGUGUGGGGGUGUGUGUGACACAGUUUGACCCUAAAUUGCUGGAGCGCGGAGUCGUUUGCACGCCGGGGUCUCUGCGCACACUCUACGCUGCGGUGAUCUCUGUCAGGAAGAUCGGUUACUUCAAGGGAUCCCUGAGCACGCGUGCCAAGUUCCACAUCACGGUGGGACACGAGACCGUCAUGGCCAGGGUGACCUUCUUCGGGCUGCCUCCGGCCGGUGAUCCUCCGGACCCUCCUCAGCCUUGCUCUUUGGAUGCAGCAUUCACCUUUGACAGAGAAUAUCUCUAUCAGGACGAGUAUGUAGUCAGUCAGUCCAGUGCUGAAGCUGACCCAGAACAGUGGGCUCUGUUGGAGUUCGAGAGGCCAGUCACAUGUCCCACACUUUGCCUUGUGAUUGGCUCCAAACUGGACUCUGACAUCCAUGCCAAUGCGUGCCGCUUGGCCUUCCAAGGCCGGCUGCUUCAUGGGUUUGAGGAUAAGACCUAUGCUGAGACGGCCCUGCAGCGCCUUCGCAUCUACAAAACCAAACACAAGGAAGGACAAGUGGAGAGGGUGACUGAUGACUACACCGUGAUUGGCCGCAACCUGUUCAAGAAGGAGACCAACCUGCAGAUCUUUGUGGGGCUAAAGGUCACACUGUCGACGGGCGAGUCCGGGCUCAUCGAGGGCAGCUUCGGUCAGAGCGGGAAGUUCAAGAUUCGGAUUCAAGUUCAGUCGAUGAUGACAGAAUAAAGAUCCAGGCGGCUGGCGGCGGCCGGACGCUACGACCUGGUGAGAAAAGCGGAGCCAUCCCGGCGACCUCUGGCUUUGGCUCUGCAUGACCGUGCUGGAGGCAGACGAACCCACAGUGCGGUUUAGGAAAUGAGGGACAGCUCUGUGCUGCAUGAACAACAUAGCGAUGCGCUUUGACAUUGUUUGUGUCCACAGGUCGUCCAGUUCAGACAUUGCUGAUGUGCAGGAAAGAUUAUGACUGCUGACCCGUCGCAGCUCCCGACACCGGCUCCAGAUCCUCGGCCCUGCAGGAUGGGCGCCGCCACCAGUUUGUCUCUGCAAGGUGGAUGAGUGCAAUCUGGAGAAGCCUGAGAGGCGAGCAGGGCUCCCAGCCACAGGGACAGCAGGGCCAGCAUCCUUACAGACCCACGUGCAACCAUCAUGAGGAUUGGCAGUUGCAAACAGUCGGAUGAAGCGUUCUCCUCUGCACUUAUCUCCUCAUCCCUCUGAGCUCUUCCUUUCGUCCUCCCCUCUGAAAACGACCCUUCAGGUUAACCCUUUUCCACGUCUUUCUCCUGGUCCUUGUUUUAGUCUACACUUCUGUCAUCCGCUGCUUCAGUCUAUUUCUUCUCCCUGCCACGUCUUUUCUCCUCUGCUCUGGUUCUGUUUGUCAAGUUACUUUGGCUCAGAUUCCUAGAUAACUGCGGCACUCUUUGCUGUCUGACACGGGCUGGUGCACCCACCCCCUGACACACACACACACACGCACACCCACACAGAGACACACACACAGCCUUUCCAUUUCCAACAUAGCCAACAACUGACUAUGAAGUUAACUCAGACACAUUCUCUCUCUCUCGCGCGCUCUCACACACAUCACCCUUUCCCCAGCCUCUCACCCUAAACCUAACCAACCAAAACAAAUGGCUGACCUGAACCAGGACUCUGAACCAAACUUAAACCUGCUUAUAGUUAUUUUGACAUUAUCACCCUCAAAACUCUAGGUGGACCGGACAAAACGUCCACACAAAGAUAAAUGUCCCCAUAGGGUCAAAGAUUGAUCCACACAAGAAUAUGAAUGCAUGUACAGGCCAACAAAUGAACAUGUGUGUACAUGCGCAUACAAUAAGGAACACGACACAUACGCCCAUACACUCAUUGAAGAAUGCCUGAAUAUAUGUGAUGUUAGCUAAGAAACACACAAGAAAAACCUGUGCGCACCAACACACAAAUUCACAGAAUGCAUUGCAUUGGUACAUACACUUAAUGUCUUUCAUUUGCACACUGAGACACAUCCAAAACACACGGCAGUGCACACACACUUGCACAUUUCCUUGUUUUGUGGGGACAUUUCAUUGACUUUCAGGCUUUCCUCAGCCUCCCUCCUUGAGCCUAACCAUCCCAAAAACAUGGCUAACCUUGAACAGGAACUAAACCAAACUUAAAACCUGUUACAACAUCCCAGUUAUUGUUUUAAUCCUCAAAUUGAAAAAAUUCACAACAACAACAGUGCCCGUAUAAACUCCCAGCAGCGACUGAAGUCAUGGCCUCUGCCUCAUCGCUCUUCCCUGUCACGUCGAAGGAAAUGCAAAACGCAGCAGAUGCCUCAGGUAUGUGCUUCCUCCACUUUCGUCGGUCAUUUUGGCACUUUUGCUCUUUUGUGUCCCUGUGUUUGUGUUUACAAACCGAGUUCCGAGGCAGCAAUAAAGACUGGACGCUCAAUAGGUGUGAGAGGGAAGGAAUUCCUCUUUAAACACCAGAGCACAUCAGGACCCUGCAGAGGCGCGCUGUCACUAACAAGGAGCCCAAACAGACCCAGAACAGCGCACACGCACACACACACACAUAUUCAAAUAUAGAGCAGGGAAGUUUCAGAGAAAACCAGGUAUUGGCGGGUUUGUGUGGUUUAACUCCCAUCUGGCGUAGAGUUGUUCCCUGAUACACAUUUGUAUAUUUGUAAAUAUGUUGAGUUGACUGCCUAUAUGAUGACGACCUGCUUGCACUGACCAUUUUUACUUAUUUCUGUCUUGCACUGACAACCUAAGAGCUCCUGUAACAGUGAAUUUCUCCUUGCUGAGAUCAAUAAAGUCUAUCUUAUCUUAUGUAAUUAGCCAAGAUAGCAGAAGUAUUCAUGCAAUGAAGAAUGAGAAUAUUCCAUACUUUCGAAAUUUCAAGUCAUACAGCACAAAAAAACAGGUGGCAAAGGGAUUCAUUCAGACUUUGUUGGACUAUUGUACGAUUGAAAUGUCAGGUACAGAUUGUGGUGGUUCAACAGCAUUGGUUUGACUGUCGGUGUUGAAAAUAACCUGGAAAGUUAUGGACAGAAUUAUUAUUGGGCAUUACAAGGUCUGAAUUCUCUAUGGGCUUUUCUAGUUACUUUUCAUUUCAGCUAAUUUCAGCUCUUCUUUCCUCACUUUGAAAAAAGUGCAAAGAUGGGGAUUGGCAGCUGCAGGCCUCAGGCCAUGGACCUAAAAAAAAAAGCGAGACAAACUUUAGGUUUUGUUUAUUUGAGGAAUUGUUUGUGAGGGAUUGGAUGUUGGAGCCUGCGCCUGAAAUGAUCAUCAAAGCAGCAGGAGUAAUUGGAGCCAGUGAUGACAAAACAAUGUGGCCUAUUAAGGAGGUUCUCCAAGCAUAUCCAACAGGGAGGGAAUCCUGGGGCAGACCCUGGUUCAGCCUGGGGAGAAAACAUUGUGUCUGCAGUGCACCAGCUUGCGUGUGGAUCCCUGUUCAUUUUUCUCAGUAGCCCGUGGAGUAAAUCAUUAUAGAAUUUGAUUGAGCAAAAUGUUUUGGCCCCCUGAGCUUUGAGUGUGGCACGUAUGGCACAGGACUCUAAAUUUAGGUGAUGAAAUCUUCACAGCGUCUAAACAUAAAACAUUAAAAUUAAAAAAUUAAAUUAAUUAAAUUAAAAAGGACUGAAGAAAAAAA